RNAcentral lists this ribosomal RNA (241 nucleotides) under uncultured bacterium. RNAcentral describes it as "partial 16S ribosomal RNA". It matches the Rfam family "Bacterial small subunit ribosomal RNA", at positions 92 to 334 of the family's 1533-position model. The record is from RNAcentral.
CGACCGGCGCACGGGUGCGUAACGCGUAUGCAACCUACCUUUAACAGGGGGAUAACACUGAGAAAUUGGUACUAAUACCCCAUAAUAUCAUAGAAGGCAUCUUUUAUGGUUGAAAAUUCCGAUGGUUAGAGAUGGGCAUGCGUUGUAUUAGCUAGUUGGUGGGGUAACGGCUCGCCAAGGCGACGAUACAUAGGGGGACUGAGAGGUUAACCCCCCACACUGGUACUGAGACACGGACCAG